RNAcentral lists this transfer RNA (74 nucleotides) under Lepturacanthus savala (Savalani hairtail). Its description in RNAcentral is "tRNA-Lys". It matches the Rfam family "tRNA". Rfam says of the family: Transfer RNA (tRNA) molecules are approximately 80 nucleotides in length. Their secondary structure includes four short double-helical elements and three loops (D, anti-codon, and T loops). The record is from RNAcentral. Lineage: Eukaryota; Metazoa; Chordata; Actinopteri; Scombriformes; Trichiuridae.
CGUUAAGAAGCUAAAUUAGAAACAGCAUUAGCCUUUUAAGCUAAAGAUUGGUGCCUCGCAACCACCCUUAAUGC